AGAAAAGUGAUAUGCUACAAGACUAGUUAGAGAUUUACUAAUAUGUUACAAAGUUUUGGUAUGUUCAAAUUAUCGUUCUCCUGAAAUAGAUGAUGUUGUAAAUUGGAUAUUAAGGUGUUGAGCGAAAAAUAAUUUCAGUUCUUUCACCUCAUUUUCUAGGGCACGCAAGCGAUCCAUCAUAGAUCGGUUGUCGUCUUUAGUUGAAUGUAACUGGGGAAGUAAUUCAACCUUUG
Molecule: unclassified non-coding RNA, 233 nt
Filed under: Hevea brasiliensis (rubber tree)
Lineage: Eukaryota; Viridiplantae; Streptophyta; Magnoliopsida; Malpighiales; Euphorbiaceae
Source: RNAcentral